CUCUUUUUGUUUAUAUAUAAAGUAUAACCUGCCCACUGAUUUUAUUGAAGGGCCGCGGUAAUUUGACCGUGCAAAGGUAGCAUAAUCAUUAGUCUCUUAAUUAGAGGCUGGAAUGAAUGGUUGGACGAGACUUAACCUGUCUUGUAAUUUUUAUUAAAAUUUAAUUAUUAGGUUAAAAAGCUUAAAUGUAUUUAUGGGACGAGAAGACCCUAUAGAAUUUAAUAUUAUAAUUUAUUUAUAUUGUUUGUUUAUAAUUUUAUUAAUUAUAGUUUUUUGUUGGGGUGAUAGGAAGAUAAAAUAAACUCUUUUUAUUGUUAAAUAUUAAUAUAUAGAUUUUUGAUCCAUUAUUAGUGAUUAUAAGACUAAAUUACCUUAGGGAUAACAGCGUAAUCUUUUUUAAGAGUUCAUAUCAACAAGAAGGGUUGCGA
This 428-nucleotide ribosomal RNA is filed under the name Blattella foliolata. Its description in RNAcentral is "Blattella sp. n. 1 ZQW-2021a partial large subunit ribosomal RNA". It matches the Rfam family "Archaeal large subunit ribosomal RNA", at positions 1908 to 2592 of the family's 2987-position model. Lineage: Eukaryota; Metazoa; Arthropoda; Insecta; Blattodea; Blattellidae. The record is from RNAcentral.